UCAAUCCUGAUAUGUUUGCCUAUAUCAUAUGUUUUGACCGAACAGUUUUAUAUAGGGAGCUUAGCAGUUUUCGUGUGGCAUACAUGCCUCGUUUUCAACUAACGAGAGGACGUAUAAAAUACGAAACAAGGCACCCACCUGCUCGUAGCGGGGAUCAAAACUUACUAUAGGCGGCAUUAUUGGGAUUGAU
RNAcentral lists this non-coding RNA (190 nucleotides) under Ornithinibacillus hominis. RNAcentral's name for it is "6S / SsrS RNA". It matches the Rfam family "6S / SsrS RNA". Rfam says of the family: E. coli 6S RNA was the first non coding RNA to be sequenced, but its function was unknown until recently. It consists of 184 nucleotides that fold into an extended hairpin structure with a large single-stranded internal bulge. The record is from Rfam by way of RNAcentral. RNAcentral also lists the same sequence under 1 other name. Lineage: Bacteria; Bacillati; Bacillota; Bacilli; Caryophanales; Bacillaceae.